GAUGAACGCUAGCGGCAGGCCUAACACAUGCAAGUCGAGGGGCAUCACGAAGGAUUUUACAGGAGGAAGAAUUUGGUGGCGACCGGCGGACGGGUGCGUAACGCGUAUGCAACCUACCGGUAACAGGGGGAUAACAUUGAGAAAUUGGUACUAAUACCCCAUAAUAUUUGAUAAGGCAUCUUAUUAAGUUGAAAGAAUUUUGGUUAUCGAUGGGCAUGCGUUGUAUUAGAUAGUUGGUAAGGUAACGGCUUACCAAGUCUACGAUACAUAGGGGGACUGAGAGGUUAACCCCCCACACUGGAACUGAGACACGGUCCAGACUCCUACGGGAGGCAGCAGUGAGGAAUAUUGGUCAAUGGACGGAAGUCUGAACCAGCCAUGCCGCGUGCAGGAAGAAUGCUCUAUGAGUUGUAAACUGCUUUUGUAUAAGAGUAAACACAGGUACGUGUACCUGUCUGCAAGUAUUAUACGAAUAAGGAUCGGCUAACUCCGUGCCAGCAGCCGCGGUAAUACGGAGGAUUCGAGCGUUAUCCGGAUUUAUUGGGUUUAAAGGGUGCGUAGGCGGUUAAAUAAGUUAGGAGUUAAAUACUGGGGCUUAACCUCAGUCUGCUUUUAAUACUGUUUGACUAGAGAUUAGUUGCCGUAGGCGGAAUGUAUGGUGUAGCGGUGAAAUGCAUAGAGAUCAUACAGAACCCCGAUUGCGAAGGCAGCUUACGAAGCUAUAUCUGACGUUGAUGCACGAAAGCGUGGGUAGCGAACAGGAUUAGAUACCCUGGUAGUCCACGCAGUAAACGAUGAUAACUUGAUGUCGGCGAUAUUACAGUCGGUGUCUAAGCGAAAGCGAUAAGUUAUCCACCUGGGGAGUACGUUCGCAAGAAUGAAACUCAAAGGAAUUGACGGGGGCCCGCACAAGCGGAGGAACAUGUGGUUUAAUUCGAUGAUACGCGAGGAACCUUACCCGGGCUUGAAAGUUAAUGACGGAUCAAGAAAUUGGUCUUCCCUUCGGGGCAUGAAACUAGGUGCUGCAUGGUUGUCGUCAGCUCGUGCCGUGAGGUGUCGGGUUAAGUCCCAUAACGAGCGCAACCCCUACCGUUAGUUGCCAUCAGGUUAAGCUGGGCACUCUGGCGGGACUGCCGGUGUAAGCCGAGAGGAAGGUGGGGAUGACGUCAAAUCAGCACGGCCCUUACGUCCGGGGCUACACACGUGUUACAAUGGUAAGCACAGAGAGUUGCUACCCAGCGAUGGGAUGCUAAUCUUGAAAUCUUAUCUCAGUUCGGAUUGGAGGCUGAAACUCGCCUCCAUGAAGUUGGAUUCGCUAGUAAUCGCGCAUCAGCCAUGGCGCGGUGAAUACGUUCCCGGGCCUUGUACACACCGCCCGUCAAGCCAUGGAAGCUGAGGGUGCUUGAAGUUCGUUACCGCGAGGGACGACCUAGGGCAAACUUGGUAACUGGGGC
This 1454-nucleotide ribosomal RNA is filed under the name uncultured bacterium. Its description in RNAcentral is "16S ribosomal RNA". It matches the Rfam family "Bacterial small subunit ribosomal RNA". The record is from RNAcentral.